This 319-nucleotide long non-coding RNA is filed under the name Capsella rubella. RNAcentral describes it as "long non-coding RNA (CRUB_LNC004532)". The record is from RNAcentral. Lineage: Eukaryota; Viridiplantae; Streptophyta; Magnoliopsida; Brassicales; Brassicaceae.
UGAUAUUGAUCAAGUAGUCCUCUUUUGAUGUUAAAUUAUAAAUCACCGUACCCAAACGUGAUUUUUCUUGUGAUAUCUUAAAUUUAUUACCCCCCUUAAUAUAAAACUUUAGCUAAUUUUUUUUUUCUUUCAAUAAUCGUAUUACCAUGGGAUAAGUUUUUUCUUAUUCAUGCAACGGUAAUUUCAGUAGCAACACCACAAAGGAAAACUUUGUUGAGUAGUUUAAGAAAGAUCUCUUGAGUGGUAUAGACUAUAGUUUAGACUGUAUAUGGUCCCUCGAAGAAACAAUCAAUGCUACAUUUAAAAAGCAACCUCCGUG